UCUUUGUCCAUCCAGAAUAAUGAUUUUCACAUUUCACAAAUCAUACAUAAGAUUAUCGUAAUUAACUACUGUAUCAACAAUAAUUCCAUUAAAAUUUUUGUAUUUUUGUACAAAAAAUAUAUAAAUUAAAUCGGUGUCAAAAUUGAUAAUUAAUUCCUAAAAUCUACUUUAAUAAUGCAACCCAAGAAAUAAAGUAUAAACUAAGUACGCCAUACUUAAAGACGACCAUGCUAUAGAGGUAGAUGGGCUGCUGUUACUGGAGUGGCGAUUUGGAUUGCCAUUGAUUAGUGGACGCGUCACAGUUCUUGUUCCACCACCGCUGCCUCGACCAAUGCCGCCACCCCUUGCUCCACCGCCUCCACGAGCAACUGCAGAGGUGAGUAGGAGGCAAAUCAUUGAAAGAACAAGAACAUAUUUUAAAGCGUUCUGCAUCUUAUCAAUGUCUAUUAAAAAGCUCCCACGAACUGAAUUUUUUUUUAUUUAUAUGAGAAUUAAAUGAGUGUUGAAACUCCGCCUUCUGCUGGUCUGCCCUUUUCUCUCUGAUUCAUGGAUAAUAUAUACAGCAC
This 566-nucleotide long non-coding RNA is filed under the name Olea europaea subsp. europaea. The record is from RNAcentral. Lineage: Eukaryota; Viridiplantae; Streptophyta; Magnoliopsida; Lamiales; Oleaceae.